AUUGAACGCUGGCGGCAUGCUUUACACAUGCAAGUCGAACGGUAACAGGCCGCAAGGUGCUGACGAGUGGCGAACGGGUGAGUAAUGCAUCGGAACGUGCCCAGUCGUGGGGGAUAACUACUCGAAAGAGUAGCUAAUACCGCAUACGAUCUAUGGAUGAAAGCGGGGGACCGUAAGGCCUCGCGCGAUUGGAGCGGCCGAUGUCAGAUUAGGUAGUUGGUGGGGUAAAGGCUCACCAAGCCAACGAUCUGUAGCCGGUCUGAGAGGACGACCAGCCACACUGGGACUGAGACACGGCCCAGACUCCUACGGGAGGCAGCAGUGGGGAAUUUUGGACAAUGGGCGCAAGCCUGAUCCAGCAAUGCCGCGUGCAGGAAGAAGGCCUUCGGGUUGUAAACUGCUUUUGUACGGAACGAAACGGCUCUGGUUAAUACCCGGGGCUAAUGACGGUACCGUAAGAAUAAGCACCGGCUAACUACGU
RNAcentral lists this ribosomal RNA (481 nucleotides) under uncultured bacterium. RNAcentral's name for it is "partial 16S ribosomal RNA". It matches the Rfam family "Bacterial small subunit ribosomal RNA", at positions 30 to 506 of the family's 1533-position model. The record is from RNAcentral.